This 660-nucleotide ribosomal RNA is filed under the name Pseudomonas sp. AR-337. Its description in RNAcentral is "bacterial SSU rRNA". It matches the Rfam family "Bacterial small subunit ribosomal RNA", at positions 87 to 743 of the family's 1533-position model. RNAcentral also lists the same sequence under 2 other names. Lineage: Bacteria; Pseudomonadati; Pseudomonadota; Gammaproteobacteria; Pseudomonadales; Pseudomonadaceae. The record is from RNAcentral.
UCGAUUCAGCGGCGGACGGGUGAGUAAUACCUAGGAAUCUGCCUGGUAGUGGGGGACAACGUUUCGAAAGGAACGCUAAUACCGCAUACGUCCUACGGGAGAAAGCAGGGGACCUUCGGGCCUUGCGCUAUCAGAUGAGCCUAGGUCGGAUUAGCUAGUUGGUGAGGUAAUGGCUCACCAAGGCGACGAUCCGUAACUGGUCUGAGAGGAUGAUCAGUCACACUGGAACUGAGACACGGUCCAGACUCCUACGGGAGGCAGCAGUGGGGAAUAUUGGACAAUGGGCGAAAGCCUGAUCCAGCCAUGCCGCGUGUGUGAAGAAGGUCUUCGGAUUGUAAAGCACUUUAAGUUGGGAGGAAGGGUACUUACCUAAUACGUGAGUAUUUUGACGUUACCGACAGAAUAAGCACCGGCUAACUCUGUGCCAGCAGCCGCGGUAAUACAGAGGGUGCAAGCGUUAAUCGGAAUUACUGGGCGUAAAGCGCGCGUAGGUGGUUUGUUAAGUUGAAUGUGAAAUCCCCGGGCUCAACCUGGGAACUGCAUCCAAAACUGGCAAGCUAGAGUAGGGCAGAGGGUGGUGGAAUUUCCUGUGUAGCGGUGAAAUGCGUAGAUAUAGGAAGGAACACCAGUGGCGAAGGCGACCACCUGGGCUCAUACUGA